Sciurus carolinensis (gray squirrel) is the source of this 2540-nucleotide RNA transcript. RefSeq lists it as uncharacterized. The record is from RefSeq and is a predicted model, not a curated record. NCBI's taxonomy places the organism in Eukaryota, Metazoa, Chordata, Mammalia, Rodentia, Sciuridae. The transcript is spliced from 3 exons.
CCUUCUGUUCAUUUGGCAGGCGUGAGACUCCAAGGGCGUCCGGGGCGGGUCCCGGGUGGGGAUGUCAGACAGUGACCGGCGUCAGCCCUCGGAGGCCGCGGUCACGGAAACCCGACCCCGAGUGCGGGGAGCCCGAGGGCCGCGGGCCGGGCUCGCGGGGCCGGCGGGGACCGUCCGAGCGCCGCCAGGCCCUGGCGCGAGCCCGGGAUCUGCUCCCAGCAGCCCCGCGCACCGCCCGCGGACCCCUGCCUGCCAUUGUGUUUCGCGUGACUUUUUGCUGGUCUGUUCUGCUGAUACCGGAAAACGGGAGACUUUAAGUAAACGUGCAGUGAUGAGCAAAGCUUCGGCCUCACCAUUCCCGCCUUCCGCUGUGUCCCCGGAAUUGUGCCGCAGGCCCUCCGCGGGAGGCCCCAGGCUGAGCACGCUGAGCCUCCUCGUCCUGUCUUCAGAGGAGACCGGGUUAGAAACUCAGAGAAGGUUCAAAGACUUCUUACCUGGAGCCAUAGAUUUACACACUCCCAGGGCCGUAGGAGCACUAGAAUCUGGACUUGGAAGAGUAGAUGCAAUCCUGGACUAUAAAUUGUGAGAGAAGACAACUUCUAGCUUGUUUAAGCAAGUAAGCAACAAGCAAGGUGAGUAAAACUGUAAGUGGUUGUUGCUCUUUUGGGGAAUGAAUGAGCUGUCUUUGCUGCCUGACCAGUGACACCAGAAUAUAGUAGCCGGAAACUGCAAACAUGCAUCUCAAUGUCACAGUCUCUUUGCAUCAGGAAUUUAGGGAACAGCUUAACAAGACACCUUUGCUGAAGACCUAUUACGAGGCUGCACUCAAGCUGCCAACCAGGACUGCAAGUCAUCUUCGAGACUCAACAGAGUUGCCGUAUCUGCUCCCAUGCUCAGUCUGUGGUUGCUAAAACGGCCAUGCGGUGGUACCAGUUGGGCGGCCUGUAUGGAGAUGCAGCACAGGGACGGGUAUUCUGCAUCCAGACCCUAUUCGUUAUCCUAAGGUGGAGGCUACCACAUGCAGGGGGGCUAUGGUGACAGCUGCAGUGUCCCCGCAUGGGGACACGUGUGUUGGUAGAUGGGGAGCUGCAGGGCAGUCGUUCCUCUGCCAGGCAUGGUAGGCAGGGUGGUCACUCUCCACAAGGUGCAGUAGGUGGAGCAGACUUAAGUCUUAAAUUUAUCAAUAAAAUUUAGACAUAGUCAUCAUGACUGAAAACCAGCUCUAAUCACAGAGACAGCUCCAACCAGUCACAAGAUUAUGGAGCUAUUCAACUCAGCCUAGCCCUUGUGGAAAAGCUGCCAGUCUGCUUUCUUGGCUUCAACCCACAGAGCAGCAAGCUAAUGAUAAGUUUAAGAAAUACAUUUAUACAAUGCAUAUAUCAUUCUAGGCUUUGUUCUAAAUGUUUGUAUAUAUUUAUUGGCACCUGAUUUUUGAAACUGGAUGGCUGUUUUGAUUGAGAGGCACAGGAUGGAAGACAGCCUUUUGGGAAAUGAAUGGAAUUGACAGAGCAGAGUUUUGGGUGAAGUUAGUACACUUUCUCUGCAAAGGGCUGGGGAAUAAAUAUUUUUAACUUUGCUGCCCAGAUGGUCUCUGUUGCAGCUGCUCAACUCUGCUGAGGUUGUGGGAAAGAAACCAGAGAUAUAAGUAAAUGUGCAUAGCUGUGUUUCAAUAAAACUUUAUUUAUAAAAGCAGAAAGCAGGCAGGAUAUGGCCCAUGGGUAGUUGUUUGCCUCUGGUGUAGUGCAAGCUUUUGGUAAGAAAGAAAGAAGAGGGGACACUGGUUUGAGGGAGCCCUUGUGUUUGAAAGAAAGACAAAAAGAAUCUCAAAAAUUUAAACCCCAGCAGAAGGCUCAGUGGGGCACCAUCCUCAGAGGCCUUGCUGGGAGGACAGUAGUUGUGACUAGAUCACUCACAGCUCGUCCUCCUUGCUUUUCCUGUUGUGCAGAAAUGUUCAAUGUCAGUCGGCCAGAGAGCAGAGAUGGUGCCAGCCCUGUCGACUGGCAUCCCUAUAACUGAUUCAUGGGUGGACAGAGUCAGGCCAAUCCCCUGCCUGCUGUGAGGGAGUCUACACACCAAGGAACCCAGGGGCUUCAUCAGACAAAGGAACAGAAGGACUGUUGACAGACUCUAAGCAAAGCAGGCUGUGGCAAAGGGUCCACCCAGGUGUGGGCUGCACUGUGGGCCCAGCUUCUAUGUCCCUGGUCACUACAGACUUUAAAUCCAUAUGGAAAGCUGCGUCCGAAAACCCCUUGUCUGAACUUUUGCAUGUAGUUGGAAACUCUGCUCCAACAUGACUCGGAUUCUCCAAGCAAGAGGAUGCACAUGCUCUCCCCUGGAGCCUCUGGAGGGAGCACCGAUUAUGUUCACACACCAAUUAUGGCUCAGUGGAACUGAUUUUGGAUUUCAGACUUUCAGACCAAUAAGAGGAUAAAUUUGAGUUGUUUUAAGCUAUUUAAAGAAAAAGAUGGGAUGUUUUAUUCUUACUGAUAAAAUUUCAGUUUCUGAUAGCCUGUGAUUUUAUAGGACAAGGUUUCUCAGCA